Molecule: ribosomal RNA, 889 nt
Filed under: uncultured bacterium
Lineage: Bacteria
Description: bacterial SSU rRNA
Rfam family: Bacterial small subunit ribosomal RNA
Source: RNAcentral
AGUCGAGCGNNGAACUACUUCGGUAGUGAAUUAGCGGCGAACGGGUGAGGAACACGUGAGGAAUCUGCCUUCUACACUGGGAUAACUCCGGGAAACCGGGGCUAAUACCGGAUAUGAAACUUGGUGGCAUCACCGAGUUUGGAAAGUUUUUCGGUAGAAGAUGACCUCGCGGCCUAUCAGCUUGUUGGUGAGGUAAUGGCUCACCAAGGCGACGACGGGUAGCCGGCCUGAGAGGGCGACCGGCCACACUGGGACUGAGACACGGCCCAGACUCCUACGGGAGGCAGCAGUGGGGAAUAUUGGGCAAUGGAGGAAACUCUGACCCAGCGACGCCGCGUGCGGGAUGAAGGCCUUCGGGUUGUAAACCGCUUUCAGUAGGGAAGAAGCGAAAGUGACGGUACCUACAGAAGAAGCACCGGCUAACUAUGUGCCAGCAGCCGCGGUAAUACAUAGGGUGCAAGCGUUGUCCGGAAUUAUUGGGCGUAAAGAGCUCGUAGGUGGUUCGUUACGUCGGAUGUGAAAAUCUGGGGCUCAACCCCAGACCUGCAUCCGAUACGGUCGAGCUAGAGUUUGGUAGGGGAGACUGGAAUUCCUGGUGUAGCGGUGGAAUGCGCAGAUAUCAGGAGGAACACCAAUGGCGAAGGCAGGUCUCUGGGCCAAUACUGACACUGAGGAGCGAAAGCGUGGGGAGCGAACAGGAUUAGAUACCCUGGUAGUCCACGCCGUAAACGGUGGGCGCUAGUUGUGGGAACCUUCCACGGUUUCUGCGACGCAGCUAACGCAUUAAGCGCCCCGCCUGGGGAGUACGAUCGCAAGAUUAAAACUCAAAGGAAUUGACGGGGCCCCGCACAAGCAGCGGANCAUGCGGCUUAAUUCGACGCAACGCGAA